Molecule: ribosomal RNA, 384 nt
Filed under: Escherichia coli
Lineage: Bacteria; Pseudomonadati; Pseudomonadota; Gammaproteobacteria; Enterobacterales; Enterobacteriaceae
Also listed under: 25 other names
Description: bacterial SSU rRNA
Rfam family: Bacterial small subunit ribosomal RNA
Source: RNAcentral
UGCCAGUGAUAAACUGGAGGAAGGUGGGGAUGACGUCAAGUCAUCAUGGCCCUUACGACCAGGGCUACACACGUGCUACAAUGGCGCAUACAAAGAGAAGCGACCUCGCGAGAGCAAGCGGACCUCAUAAAGUGCGUCGUAGUCCGGAUUGGAGUCUGCAACUCGACUCCAUGAAGUCGGAAUCGCUAGUAAUCGUGGAUCAGAAUGCCACGGUGAAUACGUUCCCGGGCCUUGUACACACCGCCCGUCACACCAUGGGAGUGGGUUGCAAAAGAAGUAGGUAGCUUAACCUUCGGGAGGGCGCUUACCACUUUGUGAUUCAUGACUGGGGUGAAGUCGUAACAAGGUAACCGUAGGGGAACCUGCGGUUGGAUCACCUCCUUA